RNAcentral lists this transfer RNA (72 nucleotides) under Cavia porcellus (domestic guinea pig). It matches the Rfam family "tRNA". From Rfam's summary of the family: Transfer RNA (tRNA) molecules are approximately 80 nucleotides in length. Their secondary structure includes four short double-helical elements and three loops (D, anti-codon, and T loops). Lineage: Eukaryota; Metazoa; Chordata; Mammalia; Rodentia; Caviidae. The record is from Rfam by way of RNAcentral.
AGGGAUGUUGUUUGGUGGUAGAGCUCUUGCCUUGUAUGCACAAGGACAUGGGUUUGAUUCCCAGCAUCACUA